This 1158-nucleotide ribosomal RNA is filed under the name Lactiplantibacillus plantarum. RNAcentral describes it as "bacterial SSU rRNA". It matches the Rfam family "Bacterial small subunit ribosomal RNA", at positions 1 to 1167 of the family's 1533-position model. Lineage: Bacteria; Bacillati; Bacillota; Bacilli; Lactobacillales; Lactobacillaceae. The record is from RNAcentral.
GGGAAUGGGGAAGCUAUAAUGCAAGUCGACGAACUCUGGUAUUGAUUGGUGCUUGCAUCAUGAUUUACAUUUGAGUGAGUGGCGAACUGGUGAGUAACACGUGGGAAACCUGCCCAGAAGCGGGGGAUAACACCUGGAAACAGAUGCUAAUACCGCAUAACAACUUGGACCGCAUGGUCCGAGUUUGAAAGAUGGCUUCGGCUAUCACUUUUGGAUGGUCCCGCGGCGUAUUAGCUAGAUGGUGGGGUAACGGCUCACCAUGGCAAUGAUACGUAGCCGACCUGAGAGGGUAAUCGGCCACAUUGGGACUGAGACACGGCCCAAACUCCUACGGGAGGCAGCAGUAGGGAAUCUUCCACAAUGGACGAAAGUCUGAUGGAGCAACGCCGCGUGAGUGAAGAAGGGUUUCGGCUCGUAAAACUCUGUUGUUAAAGAAGAACAUAUCUGAGAGUAACUGUUCAGGUAUUGACGGUAUUUAACCAGAAAGCCACGGCUAACUACGUGCCAGCAGCCGCGGUAAUACGUAGGUGGCAAGCGUUGUCCGGAUUUAUUGGGCGUAAAGCGAGCGCAGGCGGUUUUUUAAGUCUGAUGUGAAAGCCUUCGGCUCAACCGAAGAAGUGCAUCGGAAACUGGGAAACUUGAGUGCAGAAGAGGACAGUGGAACUCCAUGUGUAGCGGUGAAAUGCGUAGAUAUAUGGAAGAACACCAGUGGCGAAGGCGGCUGUCUGGUCUGUAACUGACGCUGAGGCUCGAAAGUAUGGGUAGCAAACAGGAUUAGAUACCCUGGUAGUCCAUACCGUAAACGAUGAAUGCUAAGUGUUGGAGGGUUUCCGCCCUUCAGUGCUGCAGCUAACGCAUUAAGCAUUCCGCCUGGGGAGUACGGCCGCAAGGCUGAAACUCAAGGGAAUUGACGGGGCCCGCAACAAGCGGUGGAGCAUGUGGUUUAUUUCGAAGCUACGCGAAGAAUCCUUACCAGUCUUUGACAUACUAUGCAAAUCCUAAAAGAUUUAGACGUUCCUUCCGGGGACAUGCAUACAGUGUUGCAUGAUGGUCGUCAGCUCGGUCCGUGAGAUGUUUGGGUUAGUUCCGCACGGAGGCGCAUCCUAUUAUCAGUUGCCAGCUUACUGUGGACCUGGGGAACUGCCGUGAACAUCCGGU